RNAcentral lists this unclassified non-coding RNA (26 nucleotides) under Mus musculus (house mouse). RNAcentral describes it as "oocyte_clustered_small_RNA5042". Lineage: Eukaryota; Metazoa; Chordata; Mammalia; Rodentia; Muridae. The record is from RNAcentral.
UAGCAGCUCUGAGCAGGAAGAUAGAG